This 468-nucleotide ribosomal RNA is filed under the name uncultured bacterium. Its description in RNAcentral is "partial 16S ribosomal RNA". It matches the Rfam family "Bacterial small subunit ribosomal RNA", at positions 28 to 507 of the family's 1533-position model. The record is from RNAcentral.
GACGAACGCUGGCGGCGUGCUUAACACAUGCAAGUCGAACGGAAAGGCCCUGCUCUUGUGGGGUGCUCGAGUGGCGAACGGGUGAGUAACACGUGAGUAACCUGCCCUUGACUUUGGGAUAACUUCGGGAAACUGGGGCUAAUACCGGAUAGGAGCUCCUGCUGCAUGGUGGGGGUUGGAAAGUUUCGGCGGUUGGGGAUGGACUCGCGGCUUAUCAGCUUGUUGGUGGGGUAGUGGCUUACCAAGGCUUUGACGGGUAGCCGGCCUGAGAGGGUGACCGGCCACAUUGGGACUGAGAUACGGCCCAGACUCCUACGGGAGGCAGCAGUGGGGAAUAUUGCACAAUGGGCGGAAGCCUGAUGCAGCAACGCCGCGUGCGGGAUGACGGCCUUCGGGUUGUAAACCGCUUUCGCCUGUGACGAAGCGUGAGUGACGGUAAUGGGUAAAGAAGCACCGGCUAACUACGUG